CCCACACCUUGGCAUCCAGGGAGGCGAUCUCCUGCUGGUUGGUGGUGGAAGCCAGGAAGUUGCUCAUCUGAGCUUUCAGGGGGUCAUCCACCUCCACGUCAAUGUCGUAGCAGGCCGUCUUCUUCUGGUCAUUGGGGUCCACGCUGGGAGGAAUCAGGGUGUUAAGGGAACCUCCUCAGCCUCAGAGGCAGAUCAACCAUCCCCAAAGGCCAUACAAGUAUCCCAACGACUGCCCCAAGGAGCUCCCAAAGUUGUUGGGCUGAUCCGUCCCCUCCCAGUGACUUGUGCUCACUGCUGUUUUGAGCUGGAGACCUUGCAGCACCUGGGGCCCCGUAUCCUCAACAAACAGAGAGGUAGCCAUUGCACUCCAGGCAGUCCACCCACCCUACCUGAUGGUGUGGUUGAUGAUGAUGGGAUCUGGGUGCUGCAGGAGCCCCGCUAACUUCAUGGGGAUCUCAGAGAAGCGCAUACGGACACAGUUGAAGAUCUGGCGGAAGUAGCGGUUGCAGUUGAUGUACUCCUUCUCAUGACUGUCCUGCAGCUUGUUGUGCUUGAUGUAAAGCCAGAGCGCCUGCAUGAUGCUGGCACGGGUCUGGGUGUGCACCCCCAGCAGGCGAGCCAGGCGAGGGUCCAGUUUGUAUUGUGGUGGCUGCAGGGACAUGCGGGAUUAAGGGCGUGUUUGGAACGUGGCCUCUCAGUGGGCACAGUGUCCUACACAGCCCUCGUGCUGCUGCAGGCUGAGUGCCAUUCCUAGAGCUCCUCCCCACUGCUUUCUGCCCCUGUUCUGUACCAUAGCACGUAACCCAACAGCCUCCCUCAUGCAGG
Molecule: long non-coding RNA, 825 nt
Filed under: Gallus gallus (chicken)
Lineage: Eukaryota; Metazoa; Chordata; Aves; Galliformes; Phasianidae
Source: RNAcentral